CUAACAAGGAUUCCCCUAGUAACUGCGAGUGAAGCGGGAAAAGCUCAAAUUUGGAAUCUGGUGGUCUUUGGCCAUCCGAGUUGUAAUUUAGAGAAGCGUCUUCCGCGCUGGACCGUGCACAAGUCUCCUGGAAUGGAGCGUCAUAGAGGGUGAGAAUCCCGUCUUUGGCAUGGAAUCCCAGGGCUUCUGUGAUGCGCUCUCGACGAGUCGAGUUGUUUGGGAAUGCAGCUCAAAAUGGGUGGUGAACUCCAUCUAAAGCUAAAUAUUGGCGAGAGACCGAUAGCGAACAAGUACCGUGAGGGAAAGAUGAAAAGCACUUUGGAAAGAGAGUGAAACAGUACGUGAAAUUGUUGAAAGGGAAACGCUUGAAGUCAGUCGCGUCGACCGAGACUCAGCCUUGCCUCGGCUUGGUGUACUUCUCGGCUUGACGGGUCAGCAUCGAUUUCGAUCCUCGGAUAAUGGCAAGGGAAAGGUAGCACCUUUUUAGGUGUGUUAUAGUCCUCUGUCGCAUGCGAGGGUCGGGAUCGAGGAACUCAGCACGCACCUCAGGGUGUCGGGGCCUUGGCCCACGUUUACGUGCUUAGGAUGCUGGCGUAAUGGCUUUAAACGACCCGUCUUGAAACACGGACCAAGGAGUCUAACAUACCCGCGAGUGUUCGGGUGGAAAACCCGUGCGCGUAAUGAAAGUAAAAGUUGGGACCUCUGUCGCGGAGGGCACCGACGCCCGGACCAGACCUUCUGUGACGGCUCUGCGGUAGAGCGUGUAUGUUGGGACCCGAAAGAUGGUGAACUAUGCCUGAAUAGGGUGAAGCCAGAGGAAACUCUGGUGGAGGCUCGUAGCGAUUCUGACGUGCAAAUCGAUCGUCAAAUUUGGGUAUAGGGGCGAAAGACUAAUCGAACCAUCUAGUAGCUGGU
This 915-nucleotide ribosomal RNA is filed under the name Russula atroglauca. RNAcentral describes it as "partial large subunit ribosomal RNA". It matches the Rfam family "Eukaryotic large subunit ribosomal RNA", at positions 65 to 955 of the family's 3401-position model. The record is from RNAcentral. Lineage: Eukaryota; Fungi; Basidiomycota; Agaricomycetes; Russulales; Russulaceae.